This 496-nucleotide ribosomal RNA is filed under the name uncultured bacterium. RNAcentral's name for it is "partial 16S ribosomal RNA". It matches the Rfam family "Bacterial small subunit ribosomal RNA", at positions 28 to 506 of the family's 1533-position model. The record is from RNAcentral.
GAUGAACGCUGGCGGCGUGCCUAAUACAUGCAAGUAGAACGCUGAAGGAAGGAGCUUGCUCUUUCCGGAUGAGUUGCGAACGGGUGAGUAACGCGUAGGUAACCUGCCUGGUAGCGGGGGAUAACUAUUGGAAACGAUAGCUAAUACCGCAUAACAGUAGAUGUUGCAUGAUAUCUACUUAAAAGGUGCAAUUGCACCACUACCAGAUGGACCUGCGUUGUAUUAGCUAGUUGGUGAGGUAACGGCUCACCAAGGCGACGAUACAUAGCCGACCUGAGAGGGUGAUCGGCCACACUGGGACUGAGACACGGCCCAGACUCCUACGGGAGGCAGCAGUAGGGAAUCUUCGGCAAUGGACGGAAGUCUGACCGAGCAACGCCGCGUGAGUGAAGAAGGUUUUCGGAUCGUAAAGCUCUGUUGUAAGAGAAGAACGAGUGUGAGAGUGGAAAGUUCACACUGUGACGGUAUCUGACCAGAAAGGGACGGCUAACUACGU